RNAcentral lists this unclassified non-coding RNA (405 nucleotides) under Hevea brasiliensis (rubber tree). Lineage: Eukaryota; Viridiplantae; Streptophyta; Magnoliopsida; Malpighiales; Euphorbiaceae. The record is from RNAcentral.
GUCACCUUAAGGUAAUUUGAAGCUCUGUUUGUGUGUUGGCAUAUGUGUGGUGUGGACAUGGACAUGAGUAGGACGGGUAGUCGCAGUUGGAACUUGAUUCGUUGGAACCCAGUCCUUAUAUAUGGAUAAGUCAAGGAGAGCACAGCUUUGAGUUGAUCUCACUGGGCCUCACACUUAGAUUGUUAAGCGAAAAUCUAGCUUGAGUUGACCUCGCUAGCUAGCAUUGGAUUAAGAGAGCUACAUAGGGGAUCAGCUUCCAUACAUUUAUUGAUGUGACACAUAGGUGUAUGUAUGCUCCAAAUUAUCUUUUGUGCGAAUAUUGGCUGAAUUAUUUGAAUUAUGUGAACGUGUUACAUUUCAUAUAUAAGAAUGCAUUAGAAAUAGAUAGUUAUAAAAAUUAUAUUU